RNAcentral lists this ribosomal RNA (468 nucleotides) under uncultured bacterium. RNAcentral's name for it is "partial 16S ribosomal RNA". It matches the Rfam family "Bacterial small subunit ribosomal RNA", at positions 29 to 507 of the family's 1533-position model. The record is from RNAcentral.
UACGAACGCUGGCGGCGUGCUUAACACAUGCAAGUCGAACGGAAAGACCCUGCUUUUGUGGGGUGCUCGAGUGGCGAACGGGUGAGUAACACGUGAGUAACCUGCCCUUGACUUUGGGAUAACUUCAGGAAACUGGGGCUAAUACCGGAUAGGAGCUCCUGCUGCAUGGUGGGGGUUGGAAAGUUUCGGCGGUUGGGGAUGGACUCGCGGCUUAUCAGCUUGUUGGUGGGGUAGUGGCUUACCAAGGCUUUGACGGGUAGCCGGCCUGAGAGGGUGACCGGCCACAUUGGGACUGAGAUACGGCCCAGAAUCCUACGGGAGGCAGCAGUGGGGAAUAUUGCACAAUGGGCGGAAGCCUGAUGCAGCAACGCCGCGUGCGGGAUGACGGCCUUCGGGUUGUAAACCGCUUUCGCCUGUGACGAAGCGUGAGUGACGGUAAUGGGUAAAGAAGCACCGGCUAACUACGUG